ACCAGACUCCUACGGGAGGCAGCAGUGGGGGAUAUUGCACAAUGGGGGAAACCCUGAUGCAGCGACGCCGCGUGGGUGAAGAAGUAUUUCGGUAUGUAAAGCCCUAUCAGCAGGGAAGAAAGAAGACGGUACCUGACUAAGAAGCCCCGGCUAACUACGUGCCAGCAGCCGCGGUAAUACGUAGGGGGCGAGCGUUAUCCGGAUUCACUGGGUGUAAAGGGAGCGUAGACGGCCGUGCAAGCCAGGAGUGAAAGCCCGGGGCCCAACCCCGGGACUGCUCUUGGAACUGUGCGGCUGGAGUGCGGGAGGGGCAGGCGGAAUUCCUGGUGUAGCGGUGAAGUGCGUAGAUAUCAGGAGGAACACCGGCGGCGAAGGCGGCCUGCUGGACCGCGGCUGACGUUGAGGCUCGAAAGCGCGGGUAUCGAACAGGAUUAGAUACCCUUGUA
Molecule: ribosomal RNA, 446 nt
Filed under: uncultured bacterium
Lineage: Bacteria
Description: bacterial SSU rRNA
Rfam family: Bacterial small subunit ribosomal RNA
Source: RNAcentral